RNAcentral lists this ribosomal RNA (744 nucleotides) under Enterobacter cloacae. RNAcentral's name for it is "bacterial SSU rRNA". It matches the Rfam family "Bacterial small subunit ribosomal RNA", at positions 56 to 789 of the family's 1533-position model. The record is from RNAcentral. Lineage: Bacteria; Pseudomonadati; Pseudomonadota; Gammaproteobacteria; Enterobacterales; Enterobacteriaceae.
UGCUAGUCGAACGGUAGCACAGAGAGCUUGCUCUCGGGUGACGAGUGGCGGACGGGUGAGUAAUGUCUGGGAAACUGCCUGAUGGAGGGGGAUAACUACUGGAAACGGUAGCUAAUACCGCAUAACGUCGCAAGACCAAAGAGGGGGACCUUCGGGCCUCUUGCCAUCAGAUGUGCCCAGAUGGGAUUAGCUAGUAGGUGGGGUAACGGCUCACCUAGGCGACGAUCCCUAGCUGGUCUGAGAGGAUGACCAGCCACACUGGAACUGAGACACGGUCCAGACUCCUACGGGAGGCAGCAGUGGGGAAUAUUGCACAAUGGGCGCAAGCCUGAUGCAGCCAUGCCGCGUGUAUGAAGAAGGCCUUCGGGUUGUAAAGUACUUUCAGCGGGGAGGAAGGUGUUGUGGUUAAUAACCGCAGCAAUUGACGUUACCCGCAGAAGAAGCACCGGCUAACUCCGUGCCAGCAGCCGCGGUAAUACGGAGGGUGCAAGCGUUAAUCGGAAUUACUGGGCGUAAAGCGCACGCAGGCGGUCUGUCAAGUCGGAUGUGAAAUCCCCGGGCUCAACCUGGGAACUGCAUUCGAAACUGGCAGGCUAGAGUCUUGUAGAGGGGGGUAGAAUUCCAGGUGUAGCGGUGAAAUGCGUAGAGAUCUGGAGGAAUACCGGUGGCGAAGGCGGCCCCCUGGACAAAGACUGACGCUCAGGUGCGAAAGCGUGGGGGAGCAAACAGGAUUAGAUACCCCUG